RNAcentral lists this unclassified non-coding RNA (336 nucleotides) under soil metagenome. Its description in RNAcentral is "partial contains 5.8S ribosomal RNA, internal transcribed spacer 2, and large subunit ribosomal RNA". The stretch from base 1 to 120 matches the Rfam family "5.8S ribosomal RNA", at positions 35 to 154 of the family's 154-position model. The record is from RNAcentral.
GAUGAAGAACGUAGCGAAAUGCGAUAAGUAAUGUGAAUUGCAGAAUUCAGUGAAUCAUCGAAUCUUUGAACGCACAUUGCGCCCGCCAGUAUUCUGGCGGGCAUGCCUGUUCGAGCGUCAUUUCAGCCAUCAAGCCCCCGGCUUGUGUUGGGGACCUGCGGCUGCCGCAGGCCCUGAAAAGCAGUGGCGGGCUCGCUGUCACACCGAGCGUAGUAGCAUACAUCUCGCUCUGGGCGUGCUGCGGGUUCCGGCCGUUAAACCACCUUCGUAACCCAAGGUUGACCUCGGAUCAGGUAGGAAGACCCGCUGAACUUAAGCAUAUCAAUAAGCGGAGGA